GCUCACUAUAUUAUGGGGAAACAGCGCCCUCUAUUGGUGGUCGGCUACGAUAAGAGCAGUGUGUACAGCUACCUCGUUGCCAUUAUAUGCAAGACGGGCACGAGGUGAGUUCUUCGCUGUUAGCACAGUGGUAAAGUAUGAUGUAUUAUGAGCCAUUGUCAAUUGUAUGAUCCCUGGCGGGAUGUAUUUAUGGCAAAUGAGGUACUACAUGCAUUUUAUUAUCGUUAUAACACUGUGCUACACUGUGUUUGGAAAUAACAGCUAGUUGAUGCUAAUUGCUAAUGCUGUUCCUCGUAGAGGUGCUGUGACUGCUGUGAAGAGCCUAUAUGUGACCAGUACAUAUCCUGUUCCACGCAGGUAUUUGUUUUAUUUUGCUGCCUUUCUUUUAAAUAUAAAUGUAUUAUUGUGGCCAUUAUAUGCAAGACGGGCACGAGAGGUGCUGUGACUGCUGUGAAGAGCCUAUAUGUGACCAGUACAUAUCCUGUUCCACGCAGAUUAAACGCAUCAUCCCACAUCUUCCGUCUCUUGGCCAUCUUUAAAACACAACGCGGAGGUAUUAUACUAGGAAAACAAGACUACUUCUAUCUGGACCGAGCUGAACAAACAGACGGCCAAGUUCAGUACGGUUACAUU
Long non-coding RNA from Fundulus heteroclitus (mummichog), 633 nucleotides. RefSeq lists it as uncharacterized. NCBI's taxonomy places the organism in Eukaryota, Metazoa, Chordata, Actinopteri, Cyprinodontiformes, Fundulidae. The record is from RefSeq and is a predicted model, not a curated record. The transcript is spliced from 2 exons.